Molecule: small RNA, 115 nt
Organism: Aureimonas sp. Leaf324
Lineage: Bacteria; Pseudomonadati; Pseudomonadota; Alphaproteobacteria; Hyphomicrobiales; Aurantimonadaceae
Rfam family: Alphaproteobacterial ar14
About the family: Smr14C2 was renamed NfeR1 (Nodule Formation Efficiency RNA) highly expressed in salt stress and during the symbiotic interaction on legume roots.
Source: Rfam
GAGUUUCGCAUCGGUCAUCCUCCUCCCAACGACCGAAGCGGAUCGAAGCCCGCGUUCCUCCCACGCUGGCUUUACCCAUGACGCCCUGCCGGUCCUCCCCCGGCAGGGCGUUUUU